This 1735-nucleotide long non-coding RNA is filed under the name Cinara cedri. The record is from RNAcentral. Lineage: Eukaryota; Metazoa; Arthropoda; Insecta; Hemiptera; Aphididae.
GAAGUUUGUUGAAGUAGAUAGGAAUUCAUCAAAUAGACACCAUGUCGUAAGUAUAUUAGACUCAUAAUUAAUCAUUUUCAAUGGAAGAGUAAUAUUAUUUUUUUUAUAAUCAUUUAUCUUGAAUAAUGUUUUAAUAUUAUUUAUUCAACAGUCAAUAAAACUCAAUCACUGCCAAGUCUUUUCUACUCAAUUUAAAUUUUGUUGAAGUCAAUACGAAUUCAUUGCCAUUUGUCAUCUGGACUUUUUCUACUUCAACAUUUAAAUUGCAAAUUUUGUAUUGAGUAAAAUGCCAUGACAGGGAUUCAGUUUAAUAAAACCCAAACAUUCUUUAUCGGUGGUUUUAUUAAACUGAACCACUGUCAAGACCUUUUCUAUUCAAUUUGAAGUUUGUUGAAGUAGAUAGGAAUUCAUGGAAUAGACCCCAUGUCGUAAGUAUAUUAGACUCAUAAUAAUUAACCUUUUUAAUGGUAGAAUAAUAUUUGUGUAAUCAUUUAUCUGGAAUAAUGUUUGAAUAUUAUUUAUUUAACAGUCAAUUAAAAUCAAUCACUGUCGUGUCAUUUCUACUCAAUUAAAAUUUUGUUCAAGUCUUUACGAAUUCAUCGCCAUUUGUCAUCUGGACUUUUUCUACUUCAACAUUUAAAUUGCAAAUUUUGUAUUGAGUAAAAUGCCAUGACAGGGAUUCGGUUUAAAGAAACCUAAAUAAGUUUUCUCGGUAACUUUAAACCGAACCACUGUCAAGACCUUUUCUAUUCAAUUUGAAGUUUGUUGAAGUAGAUAGGAAUUCAUCAAAUAGACACCAUGUCGUAAGUAUAUUAGACUCAUAAUUAAUCAUUUUCAAUGGAAGAGUAAUAUUAUUUAUUCAACAGUCAAUAAAACUCAAUCACUGUCAAGUCUUCUCUACUCAAUUUAAAUUUUGUUGAUGUUAAUACGAAUUCAUCAAAUAGACGCCAUGAGGUUAGUAUAUUAGACUCAUAAUAAUUAAUAAUUUUAAAUGGUAGAAUAAUAUUUGUGUAAUCAUAUAUCUUGAAUAAUGUUUGAAUAUUAUUUAUUUAACAGUCAAUUAAAAUCAAUCACUGUCAAGUCUUUUCUACUCAAUUUAAAUUUUGUUGAAGUCAAUACGAAUUCAUUGCCAUUUGUCAUCUGGACUUUUUCUACUUCAACGGUUAAAUUGCAAAUUUUGUAUUGAGUAAAAAGUUUAAUUAAACCACGAAAGGAUUUCAAUGUUUAAUUAAACUGAAACACUGUCAAGUCAUUUCUACUCAAUUUAAGGUUUGUUGAUGUUAAUACGAAUUCAUCAAAUAGACGCCAUGAGGUUAGUAUAUUAGACUCAUAAUAAUUAAUAAUUUUAAAUGGUAGAAUAAUAUUUGUGUAAUCAUUUAUCUGGAAUAAUGUUUGAAUAUUAUUUAUUUAACAGUCAAUUAAAAUCAAUCACUGUCGUGUCAUUUCUACUCAAUUAAAAUUUUGUUCAAGUCUUUACGAAUUCAUCGCCAUUUGUCAUCUGGACUUUUUCUACUUCAACAUUUAAAUUGCAAAUUUUGUAUUGAGUAAAAUGCCAUGACAGGGAUUCAGUUUAAUAAAACCCAAACAUUCUUUAUUGGUGGUUUUAUUAAACUGAACCACUGUCAAGACCUUUUCUAUUCAAUUUGAAGUUUGUUGAAGUAGAUAGGAAUUCAUGGAAUAGACCCCAUGUCGUAAGUAUAAUAGACUCAUAAUUAAUAACCUUUUUAAUGGUAGA